GACGAACGCUGGCGGCGUGCUUAACACAUGCAAGUCGAGCGGUAAGGCCCUUUCGGGGGUACACGAGCGGCGAACGGGUGAGUAACACGUGGGUGACCUGCCCUCAGCUCUGGGAUAAGCCUGGGAAACCGGGUCUAAUACUGGAUAUGACUCCAUGACGCAUGUUGUGGGGUGGAAAGCCUUGUGCGGCCGAGGAUGGGCCCGCGGCCUAUCAGCUUGUUGGUGGGGUGAUGGCCUACCAAGGCGACGACGGGUAGCCGGCCUGAGAGGGCGACCGGCCACACUGGGACUGAGACACGGCCCAGACUCCUACGGGAGGCAGCAGUGGGGAAUCUUGCGCAAUGGGCGAAAGCCUGACGCAGCGACGCCGCGUGAGGGAUGACGGCCUGGU
This 391-nucleotide ribosomal RNA is filed under the name uncultured bacterium. Its description in RNAcentral is "bacterial SSU rRNA". It matches the Rfam family "Bacterial small subunit ribosomal RNA", at positions 28 to 420 of the family's 1533-position model. The record is from RNAcentral.